This 1522-nucleotide ribosomal RNA is filed under the name Salmonella enterica subsp. enterica serovar Infantis. RNAcentral's name for it is "bacterial SSU rRNA". It matches the Rfam family "Bacterial small subunit ribosomal RNA". Lineage: Bacteria; Pseudomonadati; Pseudomonadota; Gammaproteobacteria; Enterobacterales; Enterobacteriaceae. The record is from RNAcentral.
AGAGUUUGAUCAUGGCUCAGAUUGAACGCUGGCGGCAGGCCUAACACAUGCAAGUCGAACGGUAACAGGAAGCAGCUUGCUGCUUCGCUGACGAGUGGCGGACGGGUGAGUAAUGUCUGGGAAACUGCCUGAUGGAGGGGGAUAACUACUGGAAACGGUGGCUAAUACCGCAUAACGUCGCAAGACCAAAGAGGGGGACCUUCGGGCCUCUUGCCAUCAGAUGUGCCCAGAUGGGAUUAGCUUGUUGGUGAGGUAACGGCUCACCAAGGCGACGAUCCCUAGCUGGUCUGAGAGGAUGACCAGCCACACUGGAACUGAGACACGGUCCAGACUCCUACGGGAGGCAGCAGUGGGGAAUAUUGCACAAUGGGCGCAAGCCUGAUGCAGCCAUGCCGCGUGUAUGAAGAAGGCCUUCGGGUUGUAAAGUACUUUCAGCGGGGAGGAAGGUGUUGCGGUUAAUAACCGCAGCAAUUGACGUUACCCGCAGAAGAAGCACCGGCUAACUCCGUGCCAGCAGCCGCGGUAAUACGGAGGGUGCAAGCGUUAAUCGGAAUUACUGGGCGUAAAGCGCACGCAGGCGGUCUGUCAAGUCGGAUGUGAAAUCCCCGGGCUCAACCUGGGAACUGCAUUCGAAACUGGCAGGCUUGAGUCUUGUAGAGGGGGGUAGAAUUCCAGGUGUAGCGGUGAAAUGCGUAGAGAUCUGGAGGAAUACCGGUGGCGAAGGCGGCCCCCUGGACAAAGACUGACGCUCAGGUGCGAAAGCGUGGGGAGCAAACAGGAUUAGAUACCCUGGUAGUCCACGCCGUAAACGAUGUCUACUUGGAGGUUGUGCCCUUGAGGUGUGGCUUCCGGAGCUAACGCGUUAAGUAGACCGCCUGGGGAGUACGGCCGCAAGGUUAAAACUCAAAUGAAUUGACGGGGGCCCGCACAAGCGGUGGAGCAUGUGGUUUAAUUCGAUGCAACGCGAAGAACCUUACCUGGUCUUGACAUCCACAGAAGAAUCCAGAGAUGGAUUUGUGCCUUCGGGAACUGUGAGACAGGUGCUGCAUGGCUGUCGUCAGCUCGUGUUGUGAAAUGUUGGGUUAAGUCCCGCAACGAGCGCAACCCUUAUCCUUUGUUGCCAGCGGUCCGGCCGGGAACUCAAAGGAGACUGCCAGUGAUAAACUGGAGGAAGGUGGGGAUGACGUCAAGUCAUCAUGGCCCUUACGACCAGGGCUACACACGUGCUACAAUGGCGCAUACAAAGAGAAGCGACCUCGCGAGAGCAAGCGGACCUCAUAAAGUGCGUCGUAGUCCGGAUUGGAGUCUGCAACUCGACUCCAUGAAGUCGGAAUCGCUAGUAAUCGUGGAUCAGAAUGCCACGGUGAAUACGUUCCCGGGCCUUGUACACACCGCCCGUCACACCAUGGGAGUGGGUUGCAAAAGAAGUAGGUAGCUUAACCUUCGGGAGGGCGCUUACCACUUUGUGAUUCAUGACUGGGGUGAAGUCGUAACAAGGUAACCGUAGGGGAACCUGCGGUUG